CCUACGGGUGGCAGCAGUGGGGAAUAUUGCACAAUGGGCGCAAGCCUGAUGCAGCCAUGCCGCGUGUAUGAAGAAGGCCUUCGGGUUGUAAAGUACUUUCAGCGGGGAGGAAGGUAGUAAAGUUAAUACCUUUGCUCAUUGACGUUACCCGCAGAAGAAGCACCGGCUAACUCCGUGCCAGCAGCCGCGGUAAUACGGAGGGUGCAAGCGUUAAUCGGAAUUACUGGGCGUAAAGCGCACGCAGGCGGUUUGUUAAGUCAGAUGUGAAAUCCCCGGGCUCAACCUGGGAACUGCAUCUGAUACUGGCAAGCUUGAGUCUCGUAGAGGGGGGUAGAAUUCCAGGUGUAGCGGUGAAAUGCGUAGAGAUCUGGAGGAAUACCGGUGGCGAAGGCGGCCCCCUGGACGAAGACUGACGCUCAGGUGCGAAAGCGUGGGGAGCAAACAGGAUUAGAUACCCUUGUAGUC
RNAcentral lists this ribosomal RNA (465 nucleotides) under uncultured bacterium. RNAcentral's name for it is "bacterial SSU rRNA". It matches the Rfam family "Bacterial small subunit ribosomal RNA", at positions 338 to 795 of the family's 1533-position model. The record is from RNAcentral.